RNAcentral lists this long non-coding RNA (1237 nucleotides) under Homo sapiens (human). RNAcentral describes it as "HSALNT0291540". The record is from RNAcentral. Lineage: Eukaryota; Metazoa; Chordata; Mammalia; Primates; Hominidae.
AGGAGUAUUUCCUGUUUCUCUUACCUGCAAUUCCAAGAUGUCCCACUCCCCAAACUGAAAGCCGGACUCCUGGUACCUACCAAUCCUUCCAGCUUCUGGGUGAGCCCCUCCCCAGAAAACAUCUGAGCCUGCUUCAACUUGUGGCUGCAUUCCACCCCUGCCCUCCUGACCCUCCAUAAAUCUACAUGUGCCUUAGUAAGGAAUAAGGGUAGAAAUAUGGCCCCUUAAGUGUGAGUAUCAUCCUCCACAACAGUGGAGACAGCAGCUUAUUCAUCUGAAGACAGAAAACUUGCCUUGGCAGCCUGAGGCCUGGGAGUUAUGUCAGAACUUUCAGAAUGGUUGGCGGUGCCUUUGCCUGUGCUGGUCCAGGUUCUACGUCGACUUGGAGAAGCUUUUUACUGCGUCCACUGAGGGACGCCCAGAUUCCUCAGAGGGAAGUCGGGUGUGCCGGCUGGAGCACAGCAGGGGUCAGAAGGGGCCUGCCUGGCUUCCACCACAGCAACUUGCUUCUGCUUCAAGGCUUCAGGAAUCAAGUCUGUUUGGCUCAUCCUGCACCUAGCACCACGGCUGGCAAACAGUAACAGUUUAAUAAAUACACAUGGAAUGUUGAAAUGAAUGAAUGAGCACAUAAUAAUGAGUCUUUUCUAACUCAAGGCCUCAACACCUCAGACCCCAUCCCUGACCCUGCCUUGCUGCAGGGACCUUGACCUUGUAUGAUACCCCAGCCUCUGCUCUGAGUCCAGGGCCUCUGCCCUCUGCCUCUGCUCUUUAGCUUCCUUGGCCAGGUGAGGCCCACUUUCUGGAGUCCAGACAGCCUCCUCUUUUCUUCAGCAGUGAAGCUUACGGCCUCUCUUCCAGAAGGGUGGGCAGGGAUCCCACCUUAGCAUUCCCCAGCUCUGAGCUGGGGUCACAGUUAGGAUACAACUACUUCAAAGGGGUCUUCAGGCCAGUGAACCCUCUGACCCUUUUCUGACCUCCCCGCCUUUUUCUACCUGCCAAACUCAGCACUUUCCCUCCCUUCCUUUAUGCCCUUGACUCAAGCCUCGGAUUCAUUUUUUAAAAUAUUUACAUUUCCACCCUUCUUCAGGGGACUCUGUCUCUCUAAUAAAUAGAACAUGAGCAGCUGCUCUCACCUGACCCUGCAGCAGCACUGGGGGUGGUGGGGAGCCCUGGCUGCUGCCAUUCCUCUCCACGCAGGCGCCCUGGUCAGACCCGCUUCUUCCACGCUGCCCUGACG